CAGCAGCCGCGGGAAUACGUAGGUGGCAAGCGUUGUCCGGAAUUAUUGGGCGUAAAGGGCUCGCAGGCGGUUUCUUAAGUCUGAUGUGAAAGCCCCCGGCUCAACCGGGGAGGGUCAUUGGAAACUGGGAAACUUGAGUGCAGAAGAGGAGAGUGGAAUUCCACGUGUAGCGGUGAAAUGCGUAGAGAUGUGGAGGAACACCAGUGGCGAAGGCGACUCUCUGGUCCGUAACUGACGCUGAGGAGCGAAAGCGUGGGGAGCGAACAGGAUUAGAUACCCCCGUAGUCCCUGUCUCUUAUAC
This 301-nucleotide ribosomal RNA is filed under the name uncultured bacterium. Its description in RNAcentral is "partial 16S ribosomal RNA". It matches the Rfam family "Bacterial small subunit ribosomal RNA", at positions 509 to 807 of the family's 1533-position model. The record is from RNAcentral.